GGAUGCGAGGGUGAUCUGGUUGUGACAUCUGUCACCCCAUUGAUCGCCAGGGUUGAUUUGGCUGAUCUGGCUGGCCAGGCAGGUGCACUCUUGCUCCCUCAUGCUCCUUGUGUGUCCCUCCUGAAGCUGUGUGUUCAGUCAAAGAUGACGACCAUCCCCAAUGGAGGACUGUUCUUUGGUCAAGAGUGGCUGUGCUCCCCUGCUAGAACCUCCAAAUAAGCUCUUAAAAAUUAAACAGUUCACCUGAAAUGAUAUUGGAUCAAGUAUGUGAUAAACUCAGGGAUCAUAUUAUCUAAAAUAAUUCAUAGGUUUACCUGUUUAAAAUAACU
Molecule: small nuclear RNA, 329 nt
Filed under: Castor canadensis (American beaver)
Lineage: Eukaryota; Metazoa; Chordata; Mammalia; Rodentia; Castoridae
Description: 7SK RNA (ENSCCNG00000012937.1)
Rfam family: 7SK RNA
About the family: 7SK was discovered as an abundant small nuclear RNA in the mid-70s but a possible function has only recently been suggested. Two independent studies have found that 7SK RNA binds the CDK9/cyclin T complex (known as elongation factor P-TEFb).
Source: Rfam by way of RNAcentral